GCUGCACGGGCCUCAUCCAUCCGGAGAUCUGUGAGAGCACAGCUGUUGCUCCUUAGAGGUUUCUUUUUCCUUGCCGGUCUCUUGUGUCUACUUACAAGAUUCCUCCAUGCCCAAAGAAAGUAUUUAAACCCUCCUGACACUUGCAUGACAGCUGGUGCAACCUGAUGUUUUGCUGCUCUGUGCUCAACAGGUGGUAGAAGAAAGUAGCAAGAUUUGAUUGAUGCAAGAGUAAAGAGAUGUUAGGAAGAAGGAAAUGCUUCAAAGAUGCUAAUUAAUCCUAUCUUGAAGUUUAUUAGUGGUUUAAUCAUGCUUGAUUAAAUUAACCUGUCCUUAUGUUCUUCACUUAGUAAAUUUGAUUAAAGCAGAUACUCUGUGUGA
Vidua chalybeata is the source of this 378-nucleotide long non-coding RNA. RefSeq lists it as uncharacterized. Lineage: Eukaryota; Metazoa; Chordata; Aves; Passeriformes; Viduidae. The record is from RefSeq and is a predicted model, not a curated record. The transcript is spliced from 2 exons.